GAGUUUGAUCCUGGCUCAGAACGAACGCUGGCGGCGUGGAUAAGACAUGCAAGUCGAACGAGAGAAUUGCUAGCUUGCUAAUAAUUCUCUAGUGGCGCACGGGUGAGUAACACGUGAGUAACCUGCCCCCGAGAGCGGGAUAGCCCUGGGAAACUGGGAUUAAUACCGCAUAGUAUCGAAAGAUUAAAGCAGCAAUGCGCUUGGGGAUGGGCUCGCGGCCUAUUAGUUAGUUGGUGAGGUAACGGCUCACCAAGGCGAUGACGGGUAGCCGGUCUGAGAGGAUGUCCGGCCACACUGGAACUGAGACACGGUCCAGACACCUACGGGUGGCAGCAGUCGAGAAUCAUUCACAAUGGGGGAAACCCUGAUGGUGCGACGCCGCGUGGGGGAAUGAAGGUCUUCGGAUUGUAAACCCCUGUCAUGUGGGAGCAAAUUAAAAAGAUAGUACCACAAGAGGAAGAGACGGCUAACUCUGUGCCAGCAGC
RNAcentral lists this ribosomal RNA (485 nucleotides) under uncultured bacterium. RNAcentral's name for it is "bacterial SSU rRNA". It matches the Rfam family "Bacterial small subunit ribosomal RNA", at positions 9 to 515 of the family's 1533-position model. The record is from RNAcentral.